RNAcentral lists this ribosomal RNA (433 nucleotides) under uncultured bacterium. RNAcentral describes it as "partial 16S ribosomal RNA". It matches the Rfam family "Bacterial small subunit ribosomal RNA", at positions 29 to 507 of the family's 1533-position model. The record is from RNAcentral.
AGCGAACGCUGGCGGCAGGCCUAACACAUGCAAGUCGAACGAACUCUUCGGAGUUAGUGGCGGACGGGUGAGUAACACGUGGGAACGUGCCUUUUGGUUCGGAAUAACUCAGGGAAACUUGUGCUAAUACCGAAUGUGCCCUUCGGGGGAAAGAUUUAUCGCCAUUAGAGCGGCCCGCGUCUGAUUAGCUAGUUGGUGAGGUAACGGCUCACCAAGGCGACGAUCAGUAGCUGGUCUGAGAGGAUGACCAGCCACACUGGGACUGAGACACGGCCCAGACUCCUACGGGAGGCAGCAGUGGGGAAUCUUGCGCAAUGGGCGAAAGCCUGACGCAGCCAUGCCGCGUGAAUGAUGAAGGUCUUAGGAUUGCAAAAUUCUUUCACCGGGGACGAUAAUGACGGUACCCGGAGAAGAAGCCCCGGCUAACUUCGUG